Leptinotarsa decemlineata (Colorado potato beetle) is the source of this 360-nucleotide long non-coding RNA. Lineage: Eukaryota; Metazoa; Arthropoda; Insecta; Coleoptera; Chrysomelidae. The record is from RefSeq and is a predicted model, not a curated record.
UAUAGUUAUGAACAGGGAGUUGGUUGGAGUGUUUUGAAGUAUGAUAUUUGAUACUUGUGAUGAAGAAGUAUAACUGCCUCAGGUCUAAGAUCUGUGAUUCAGAAUAAAGUUUGUCAGAAGGAUAUCUGAGGUUUUUAGAGUAUAUCAGCCUUAUGAAUCUCCUCUGUAUCACUUCUAAUUGGUUUAUGUGCGUCCUCAAAGCUCCACCCCAUGCUAGAAUCCCGUAGCGUAGAUGGCUUUCUACUAAUGCAUGGUAUAACAUUCUCAUCAGGCCCACAGGUAGUAUGACAAAUUUUUCAGUGGUGCUUUCUAUUUUCAAUUCUUGGAAAUCGGGAAGUCCAGGUGAGCUGCAGCUAAACG